Molecule: ribosomal RNA, 526 nt
Filed under: uncultured bacterium
Lineage: Bacteria
Description: partial 16S ribosomal RNA
Rfam family: Bacterial small subunit ribosomal RNA
Source: RNAcentral
AGGGAACCUUCCACAAUGGACGAAAGUCUGAUGGAGCAACGCCGCGUGAGUGAUGAAGGGUUUCGGCUCGUAAAACUCUGUUGUUGGAGAAGAACGGGUGUCAGAGUAACUGUUGACAUCGUGACGGUAUCCAACCAGAAAGCCACGGCUAACUACGUGCCAGCAGCCGCGGUAAUACGUAGGUGGCAAGCGUUGUCCGGAUUUAUUGGGCGUAAAGCGAGCGCAGGCGGUUUUUUAGGUCUGAUGUGAAAGCCUUCGGCUUAACCGGAGAAGUGCAUCGGAAACCGGGAGACUUGAGUGCAGAAGAGGACAGUGGAACUCCAUGUGUAGCGGUGAAAUGCGUAGAUAUAUGGAAGAACACCAGUGGCGAAGGCGGCUGUCUGGUCUGCAACUGACGCUGAGGCUCGAAAGCAUGGGUAGCGAACAGGAUUAGAUACCCUGGUAGUCCAUGCCGUAAACGAUGAGUGCUAAGUGUUGGAGGGUUUCCGCCCUUCAGUGCUGCAGCUAACGCAUUAAGCACUCCGCC